CAUCAGGAGAAAGCUUGCUUUCUUUGCUGGCGACCGGCGCACGGGUGAGUAACACGUAUCCAACCUGCCCUUUACUCGGGGAUAGCCUUGCGAAAGUAAGACUAAUACCCAAUGAUAUCUCUAGAAGACAUCUGAAAGAGAUUAAAGAUUUAUCGGUGAUGGAUGGGGAUGCGUCUGAUUAGCUUGUUGGCGGGGUAACGGCCCACCAAGGCUACGAUCAGUAGGGGUUCUGAGAGGAAGGUCCCCACAUUGGAACUGAGACACGGUCCAAACUCC
This 276-nucleotide ribosomal RNA is filed under the name uncultured Prevotella sp. RNAcentral describes it as "partial 16S ribosomal RNA". It matches the Rfam family "Bacterial small subunit ribosomal RNA", at positions 70 to 339 of the family's 1533-position model. Lineage: Bacteria; Pseudomonadati; Bacteroidota; Bacteroidia; Bacteroidales; Prevotellaceae. The record is from RNAcentral.